GACGGCUGGAGCGCUUAGAAGUGAGAAUGCCGGUAUGAGUAGCGAAAGACAGGUGAGAAUCCUGUCCACCGUAUGACUAAGGUUUCCUGGGGAAGGCUCGUCCGCCCAGGGUUAGUCGGGACCUAAGCCGAGGCCGAUAGGCGUAGGCGAUGGACAACAGGUUGAUAUUCCUGUACCAGUUGUUUUUGUUUGAGCAAUGGAGGGACGCAGUAGGCUAAGGAAUGCAUGCGAUUGGAAGUGCAUGUCCAAGCAAUGAGUCUUGAGUAGAGUUAAAUGCUUUACUCUUUAAGGACAAGUUGUGACGGGGAGCGAAAUAAUAGUAGCGAAGUUCCUGAUGUCACACUGCCAAGAAAAGCUUCUAGUGAGAAAACAACUGCCCGUACCGUAAACCGACACAGGUAGUCGAGGAGAGUAUCCUAAGGUGAGCGAGCGAACUCUCGUUAAGGAACUCGGCAAAAUGACCCCGUAACUUCGGGAGAAGGGGUGCUGACUUCGGUCAGCCGCAGUGAAUAGGCCCAAGCGACUGUUUAUCAAAAACACAGGUCUCUGCAAAAUCGUAAGAUGAAGUAUAGGGGCUGACGCCUGCCCGGUGCUGGAAGGUUAAGAGGAUGGGUUAGCUUC
RNAcentral lists this ribosomal RNA (621 nucleotides) under Listeria monocytogenes. Its description in RNAcentral is "partial 23S ribosomal RNA". It matches the Rfam family "Bacterial large subunit ribosomal RNA", at positions 1268 to 1897 of the family's 2925-position model. Lineage: Bacteria; Bacillati; Bacillota; Bacilli; Caryophanales; Listeriaceae. The record is from RNAcentral.